AUGACAGCUCUCCCUUGGAUGGCUUUGCUGGUUCCUCACCAGCCAGCGCCCCCAUUUUUCCUGCAGCACCCUGAUCUGCACUCCCUGAGGGGCUCCCACUGUCCGCGGUGUGAGGAUGUCCCUGGCUUGAAGAAAGACGACAGAACACUGGAGACCAAGUACUUGCAGCCUUCUGCUCUGCGGCCCCUCCUCACUCCAGGGAUGCCGCCUUGGGUCUGGAGACUGUUAGAGGAAACCCCAAGAGGUGCAGGCACUGAGCCUCUCAGGACAAUGACCUGGGGUCCCAGCUCCCCUGGAGGGGCCUCCUCAUGAUUGUUUGGGGGUUGAUCACAGACCAAGAGUGACGAGUGAUGUCACCCUGUGACUCAUGGCCGGACCUUCUUGCCCCUAUUGUCUCAGCACAACAUUAUUCGACUUUUCCCUCAGCGUGGGUGAGCAGAGGAAAAGCCCUGUGGCUCUGGGGACUUGGGAUCCAGAGUUGAAGACCCUUCAGCUGGCUCUGCCCUGCAAGUGCCACAGAGUGCCAUGGCCCAGGAAGACAGGUUUUCUUCCAUCUAGGCCAGGCCAUCCAGUGGCCAUCCUCCGUGUCCUCCCGCCUCCUCCUGGUGUGAGUUCUGAAAACCAAGAAUUUGUUCCU
Molecule: long non-coding RNA, 637 nt
Filed under: Gorilla gorilla gorilla (western lowland gorilla)
Lineage: Eukaryota; Metazoa; Chordata; Mammalia; Primates; Hominidae
Description: lncRNA (ENSGGOG00000044403.1)
Source: RNAcentral